AAAAUUUCUCGGGGUAGUUUGUUACAGCGUAAAAUAUGUCACUUCCUGUUGCCAGUAGGUGGCGCUAUGACUAUAACUGAAUAUGGGCAUGUCAAUCUGUUCAGGUCAGGAGUCUUAUCAAACAUGUGAAGUUUGGGGCAGAUUGGACAUUGUAUGUCUGAGUUAUAGCAACUUCAUUUUUCAUGGCGAAACAUCGAAAUUCGUCAGGCCGCCACGGACACGCCCUUCAACGAAAACUCAAGAUCUUCGCAAUUUAACAUCGCAAAGGCCUUUAGAUUAGGCAUACCAAAUUUGGUGUUGAUCUGAAAAAAUCUCUAGGAGGAGUUCGUUAAAAUACAAGGCAUGCAAAUGACAAAAAUGAUGCAAAAUUUGCUCAUAAAAUUAAAAAUAACCGACUUCCUGUUGGGUUUCGGAUAUUGCUCCAAGAGUCUUUUUUGUAGGUACUGAUGCUUUACAUAUGUGUGCCAAUUUUCGUGCAUGUACGUGAAACACAGCUGGAGGGCUGUUGAUUUUUUUACGAUAGGUGGCGCUAUCGAGGCAUUUUGCCACACCCGAUGGAAUAUUGGCC
Molecule: long non-coding RNA, 568 nt
Organism: Cyprinus carpio carpio
Lineage: Eukaryota; Metazoa; Chordata; Actinopteri; Cypriniformes; Cyprinidae
Source: Ensembl